This 536-nucleotide ribosomal RNA is filed under the name uncultured archaeon. RNAcentral describes it as "partial 16S ribosomal RNA". The record is from RNAcentral.
CGUGACUCCAAUUGACCGCAGGCUCACCCCUUGUGGUGCUCCCCCGCCAAUCCUUAAGUUCAUACUUGCGUACGUACUUCCCAGGCGGCAGACUUAACGGCUUCCCUGCGGCACUGCAUUGGCCACAAGCCAAUGCAUCACCGAGUCUGCAUCGUUUACAGCUGGGACUACCCGGGUAUCUAAUCCGGUUUGCUCCCCCAGCUUUCAUCCCUCACCGUCGAACGUGUUCUGGUACACCGCCUUCGCCACAGGUGGUCUUCAAUAGAUCAAAGGAUUUUACCCCUUCCUAUCGAGUACCGUGUACCUCUCCCACUCCCUAGCUGCACAGUAUUUUCGGCGGCCUAUACGUUAAGCGCAUAGAUUUAACCGAAAACUUAUGCAACCGGCUACGGAUGCUUUAGGCCCAAUAAACCUCCUGACCACUCGAGGUGCUGGUUUUACCGCGGCGGCUGACACCAGAACUUGCCCACCCCUUAUUCACCAGUGAUUCUACAACUGACAAAAGACUCCUUUACCAGGAGACACUCGGAUUAACU